AGCGGAGGAAAAGAAACUAACAAGGAAUCCCCUAGUAGCGGCGAGCGAAGCGGGAAGAGCUCAAAUUUAUAAUCUGGCACCUUCGGUGUCCGAGUUGUAAUCUCUAGAAGUGUUUUCCGCGUUGGACCGCACACAAGUCUGUUGGAAUACAGCGGCAUAGUGGUGAAACCCCCGUAUAUGGUGCGGACGCCCAGCGCUUUGUGAUACACUUUCAAUGAGUCGAGUUGUUUGGGAAUGCAGCUCAAAUUGGGUGGUAAAUUCCAUCUAAAGCUAAAUAUUGGCGAGAGACCGAUAGCGAACAAGUACCGUGAGGGAAAGAUGAAAAGCACUUUGGAAAGAGAGUUAACAGUACGUGAAAUUGUUGGAAGGGAAACGCUUGAAGUCAGACUUGCUUGCCGGAGCUUGCUUCGGUUUGCAGGCCAGCAUCAGUUUUCCGGGGUGGAUAAUAACGGUUUGAAGGUAGCAGUCUCGGCUGUGUUAUAGCUUUCCGUUGGAUACAUCCUGGGGGACUGAGGAACGCAGCGUGCUUUUUGCGAAAGACUCGUCUUUUUCACGCUUAGGAUGCUGGUGGAAUGGCUUUAAACGACCCGUCUU
Molecule: ribosomal RNA, 594 nt
Filed under: Rhodotorula glutinis
Lineage: Eukaryota; Fungi; Basidiomycota; Microbotryomycetes; Sporidiobolales; Sporidiobolaceae
Description: eukaryotic LSU rRNA
Rfam family: Eukaryotic large subunit ribosomal RNA
Source: RNAcentral